This 2047-nucleotide long non-coding RNA is filed under the name Linum usitatissimum (flax). RNAcentral's name for it is "long non-coding RNA (LUSI_LNC004824)". The record is from RNAcentral. Lineage: Eukaryota; Viridiplantae; Streptophyta; Magnoliopsida; Malpighiales; Linaceae.
GGGUAACGAGGGAACAAGGCUCGUUCGAUUGGUUCAAAGGCGUGAUGAACGAGAUUGCCGACCUUGAUCAGAGGGUACGUAAGAACUAUUAGUUACAUUAAAACUCCAACACAGAAAAAUGCUGCUACCUUGUCAUUUGAUUUGACUUACCUGAGUGUUAAUCAAUCCAGGGAGUACUUGAGAUGCACAACUACUUAACCAGUGUAUACGAGGAAGGGGACGCGAGAUCGACUCUGAUCACGAUGGUGCAAGCAUUGAACCACGCCAAGAACGGAGUGGACAUUGUCUCGGGCACCAGGGUGCGGACUCAUUUUGCGAGGCCUAACUGGAAGAAGGUGCUCUCGAAAUUAAGCUCAAAGCACUGUAAUGCAAGGAUAGGUAAUUAAAGGCAGUUCACUAGCUAUAUACUUUCCCAGGUAGUCAUGUUCGAUCUGAGAAGGGUUUUGAUUAUAUUAAUGCUGAUGUAUGUGGUGGGGAAUGCAGGGGUAUUCUACUGUGGGGCACCAGUUCUGGCAAACGAACUUGGAAAGCUAUGCUACGAGUUCAACCAGAAGGGUUCUACCAAGUUCGAAUUCCACAAGGAGCAUUUCUAGAACGGGGAAGAAACAAAUCACGUUGCCCAUAAUACACCUACACUAGUCCUUGCUUCAUGCUGCACGUAAGAUCAUUUUUGGGUCAAACACUCUAAUCAAGUCCCAUAACUUUUGGGUCCGAUUACAUACCCAUCUCGAAACUUCCAAAAGUAACGCAUCCGUCCCGAAACUGAAAUUUAUGUUUCGAGACCAGUGUGUAACAUUUGGAAGUUUCGGAAUCAAUAUGUAACCCGGACCAAAAUUACGGGACCAAUUAUAUAUUUGACCCGGUCAUUUUUGCAUUAAAAGCCAUUAAUUAUACACACGUGUGUCGAUGGGAGAUAUGGUAGCGAGGCGGUCUAAAUAAUUAGACAAGCUCUCGAAGCUAAAAGUCGUCACUCGACCACUAUUACUACACUACCUGCAACUAUGUGUCAUUAAACAUUACAGCUCUCUCUGUACAGAUGCAAAUCAGAGGCAAAAUGCCAAAGAAAAAUACCAGAGACUGGGAAAAGUAUACAUACACGAAGAUAGGUAUUAUUAUUAUUAUUAUGUGAAAAAAGUAUAUGAAUGAAAGGGGCGCUUGGCUUUAAUUUAGCUUUGUUUAGUUGAUGAUUUUGUUCUGCAGCCUUUGAAUUGAAUUUAUCAUAUAUACUUCGUAUUAUUAUUUGUUUUGAUAUGAUGUGUCUGGGUUCUUCCUCCCUGGAAUCCGUACGGUUACGUGGUCCACACUCUCUUGUUAGAGCUGCCAGUCCCCACGCAGCUUCAACUCAUAGGCUCGCUAACUGAUAUUGUCAGUUUGAUUUGGGUCGAUUUCUCACGGCCUCUUCAAAAAUUACCAUAUUAUUUUGGUUGAUGAACACUUUUAAAUUAGGUAAAAUUAUUUUUUUGUAUAUCAAUGUGAUAUUUGAGUUGUUUUUCUAACGAGAUUUAUUUUUCAACUUUUUAUUCACAAGCGUUUGAUUUUUUAAAAUACUAAAUACAUCUUAACGUGAUUAAUAAAUUAAAAAAAUUAAAAGGAAUUGUAUUAAAACAAAAGAACAGAAAGAGACGCAUUAUUAUGCACAUCAAAGGAAACACAUGGACUCUAGUGUUUUUGGAUUACAAACAACGUAACCUACUAGUGUUUUGAUUUUAAUUAGUUUUGGAAUCUCGCAUCAAGUAUGCGUUGACGAUUUGACAGUAUUAUAUUAUAUAAAAAAUUAUUUUAUGUGUAUAUUCUUCAUUUUUUAUCUAUACUCACUGAAACAAAUUUAAUCUAAAAAAAUCCAGUAUUCCGUUUUGAAAAAUCGAAAAGUAGUACGGAAAUAUCUAAUAUUGAAGAGUUACGCCACAACCCUUUAGGUAUAAAUGAGAUUUGGUACAUAAUAAAUUUCCAACUAGAUGGAGUAAUAAAAUAAGAGAAACAGAGGGGAGUUACCUCUCAUAUUGGCCGCUGCUUAUCACUCACUAUCUUCCUAGGAAAUUCCUCCCUC